RNAcentral lists this ribosomal RNA (441 nucleotides) under Hypolycaena erylus. RNAcentral's name for it is "partial 16S ribosomal RNA". Lineage: Eukaryota; Metazoa; Arthropoda; Insecta; Lepidoptera; Lycaenidae. The record is from RNAcentral.
UGUAUAUUGACUGUACAAAGGUAGCAUAAUCAUUAGUCUUUUAAUUGAAGACUUGUAUGAAGGAUUUGAUGAAAUAUAAACUGUCUCUUUAUUAAAAAUAGAAUUUAAUUUUUUAGUUAAAAAGCUAAAAUAAAUUUAAAAGACGAGAAGACCCUAUAGAGUUUUAUAAAUUGAAUUAAAAAUAUUUAUAUAAAAUUUUAAUAUUUUUAAUUCAAAUAUUGUGUUGGGGUGAUAGAAAAAUUAAAUAAACUUUUUUUAAAUAUGAAAAAUAAUUGAAUUAUUGAUCCAUAAUAGAUUAAAAGAAAAAAUUACCUUAGGGAUAACAGCGUAAUAUAUUUUUUUUUAGUACAAAUAAAAAAAAAAGUUUGCGACCUCGAUGUUGGAUUAAGAUAAAAAUUAAAUGCAAAAGUUUAAAAUUUUGAUCUGUUCGAUCAUUAAAAU